GAUGAAGAACGUAGCGAAAUGCGAUACCUGGUGUGAAUUGCAGAAUCCCGCGAACCAUCGAGUCUUUGAACGCAAGUUGCGCCCGAGGCCAUCCGGCCGAGGGCACGCCUGCCUGGGCGUCACGCCAAAACACGCUCCCACCCCCCCUCACCGGGGGAGCGGGACGCGGCGUCUGGCCCCCCGUGCCGCGAGGCGCGGUGGGCCGAAGAUCGGGCUGCCGGCGUACCGUGCCGGGCACAGCGCGUGGUGGAUCUCUACUCGGCGCAGUGCACCCGGCGCGUAGCCGGCGCAGCGGCCCCUAAGGACCCAACGAACGGAGCGCGAGCCGCUCCGACCGCGACCCCAGGUCAGGCGGGACUACCCGCUGAGUUUAAGCAUAUCAAUAAGCGGAGGA
This 394-nucleotide unclassified non-coding RNA is filed under the name soil metagenome. RNAcentral's name for it is "partial contains 5.8S ribosomal RNA, internal transcribed spacer 2, and large subunit ribosomal RNA". The stretch from base 1 to 122 matches the Rfam family "5.8S ribosomal RNA", at positions 35 to 154 of the family's 154-position model. The record is from RNAcentral.